This 1552-nucleotide ribosomal RNA is filed under the name Salmonella enterica subsp. enterica serovar Stanley. RNAcentral describes it as "bacterial SSU rRNA". It matches the Rfam family "Bacterial small subunit ribosomal RNA". The record is from RNAcentral. Lineage: Bacteria; Pseudomonadati; Pseudomonadota; Gammaproteobacteria; Enterobacterales; Enterobacteriaceae.
AAAUUGAAGAGUUUGAUCAUGGCUCAGAUUGAACGCUGGCGGCAGGCCUAACACAUGCAAGUCGAACGGUAACAGGAAGCAGCUUGCUGCUUCGCUGACGAGUGGCGGACGGGUGAGUAAUGUCUGGGAAACUGCCUGAUGGAGGGGGAUAACUACUGGAAACGGUGGCUAAUACCGCAUAACGUCGCAAGACCAAAGAGGGGGACCUUCGGGCCUCUUGCCAUCAGAUGUGCCCAGAUGGGAUUAGCUUGUUGGUGAGGUAACGGCUCACCAAGGCGACGAUCCCUAGCUGGUCUGAGAGGAUGACCAGCCACACUGGAACUGAGACACGGUCCAGACUCCUACGGGAGGCAGCAGUGGGGAAUAUUGCACAAUGGGCGCAAGCCUGAUGCAGCCAUGCCGCGUGUAUGAAGAAGGCCUUCGGGUUGUAAAGUACUUUCAGCGGGGAGGAAGGUGUUGUGGUUAAUAACCGCAGCAAUUGACGUUACCCGCAGAAGAAGCACCGGCUAACUCCGUGCCAGCAGCCGCGGUAAUACGGAGGGUGCAAGCGUUAAUCGGAAUUACUGGGCGUAAAGCGCACGCAGGCGGUCUGUCAAGUCGGAUGUGAAAUCCCCGGGCUCAACCUGGGAACUGCAUUCGAAACUGGCAGGCUUGAGUCUUGUAGAGGGGGGUAGAAUUCCAGGUGUAGCGGUGAAAUGCGUAGAGAUCUGGAGGAAUACCGGUGGCGAAGGCGGCCCCCUGGACAAAGACUGACGCUCAGGUGCGAAAGCGUGGGGAGCAAACAGGAUUAGAUACCCUGGUAGUCCACGCCGUAAACGAUGUCUACUUGGAGGUUGUGCCCUUGAGGCGUGGCUUCCGGAGCUAACGCGUUAAGUAGACCGCCUGGGGAGUACGGCCGCAAGGUUAAAACUCAAAUGAAUUGACGGGGGCCCGCACAAGCGGUGGAGCAUGUGGUUUAAUUCGAUGCAACGCGAAGAACCUUACCUGGUCUUGACAUCCACAGAACUUUCCAGAGAUGGAUUGGUGCCUUCGGGAACUGUGAGACAGGUGCUGCAUGGCUGUCGUCAGCUCGUGUUGUGAAAUGUUGGGUUAAGUCCCGCAACGAGCGCAACCCUUAUCCUUUGUUGCCAGCGGUCUGGCCGGGAACUCAAAGGAGACUGCCAGUGAUAAACUGGAGGAAGGUGGGGAUGACGUCAAGUCAUCAUGGCCCUUACGACCAGGGCUACACACGUGCUACAAUGGCGCAUACAAAGAGAAGCGACCUCGCGAGAGCAAGCGGACCUCAUAAAGUGCGUCGUAGUCCGGAUUGGAGUCUGCAACUCGACUCCAUGAAGUCGGAAUCGCUAGUAAUCGUGGAUCAGAAUGCCACGGUGAAUACGUUCCCGGGCCUUGUACACACCGCCCGUCACACCAUGGGAGUGGGUUGCAAAAGAAGUAGGUAGCUUAACCUUCGGGAGGGCGCUUACCACUUUGUGAUUCAUGACUGGGGUGAAGUCGUAACAAGGUAACCGUAGGGGAACCUGCGGUUGGAUCACCUCCUUACCUUAAAGAA